RNAcentral lists this ribosomal RNA (500 nucleotides) under uncultured bacterium. RNAcentral's name for it is "partial 16S ribosomal RNA". It matches the Rfam family "Bacterial small subunit ribosomal RNA", at positions 30 to 523 of the family's 1533-position model. The record is from RNAcentral.
AUUGAACGCUGGCGGAAUGCUUUACACAUGCAAGUCGAACGGCUGCACGGACUUCGGUCUGGUGGCGAGUGGCGAACGGGUGAGUAAUGUAUCGGAACGUGUCCAGUCGUGGGGGAUAACGUAGUGAAAAUUACGCUAAUACCGCAUACGAUCUCGGGAUGAAAGCGGGGGAUUGCAAGACCUCGCGCGAUUUGAGCGGCCGAUAUCAGAUUAGGUAGUUGGUGGGGUAAGGGCCCAUCAAGCCAACGAUCUGUAGGUGGUCUGAGAGGACGACCAGCCACACUGGAACUGAGACAGGGUCCAGAUGCCGACGGGAGGCAGCAGUGGGGAAUUUUGGCCAGUGGGCGAAAGCCUGAUCCACCCAUUCCGCGUGCAGGAUGAAGGCCCUCGGGUUGUACACUGCUUUUGUACAGAACGAAAAGGUUUCUACUAAUACUAGGAGCUCAUGACGGUACUGUAAGAAUAAGAACCGGCUAACUACGUGCCAGCCGCCGCCGUAA